Molecule: ribosomal RNA, 17 nt
Filed under: Viscum album (European mistletoe)
Lineage: Eukaryota; Viridiplantae; Streptophyta; Magnoliopsida; Santalales; Viscaceae
Description: partial 18S ribosomal RNA
Source: RNAcentral
CUGCGGAGAGAUCAUUG